UUUAUUGCCUAUUCAAAUCACAUUGUUUGUCAGAACGACUCAAUGUCUUUGUUUCAUUACAAGACCAGUGAUGUUAUGUUUUUUUUUUUAUCUUGGUUUUGUGUGUUGCUGCUAAACCAGAUGGAGAAGAAGCGUAUAUGCAUGAGCUUCCAGUGCAUGAGGGAUAACAGUGGAUAAAGAAAAGAGAUUCGCCCAUCAAACCUUAGCACACUCUUUUUAUGUCCUUCACGUAUAGCAAACCGAACAAGUUCCUCCGAAAAUGAAAAUAUUAUGUAUUGGUUUCAAAAUGUAUUAAAAUAACCGUUAGAAAUUUUGUUUGUAAAAACACGUUAAUUAUUUUUCAAAUUUCUUAAUAAUUUAUGUGACCAUCAGGUCUAUCCAUCAAGAUUAUGCUUUACCUUUGUGGUUAACGUUAAAUUUGCAACAUGUAUCGAAUCAGUGAUGACGAACGUGCCAAAAGCCUAAUGGUGUAGUUAGAUUUUUGGUGUAUACGCGGCGGACGUAUAAAACAGCAUAACUAAAAUAACUCUUUCCACCACUAACCAAAGCCUAACACGCGUCAACAUGCGAACUGCUCUACGGCUCUACCGCUACGUACACGUGCAUGACAAAGAGCUGCAACACAAAGCAUACCACCUUUUGCUUCGUGACACGUCUAGCUGACGUGUUGCCAAAUAGCGUAAUUAAAUAAUAAUCACAGUUACCGACUAUAGUACUAUACUACCACGUGGCUUUGGCAAUGCCUAUAUUAUGUGACAUGCUCACCGAGCAAAGCAUUGAACAACAACAAUUCUCGAAGAAUCUUAAGCUAUCUUUUUGUAACGUCUUUGAAUUUCACUAAGAGAGAAAAAAAGUUAGAAGAAAAUGCAGUCGAUGAAGGAAACAGCUUCGAACAUCGCAGCUUCUGCGAAGUCUGGCAUGGACAAGACCAAAGCCACCUUGGAGGAAAAGGUAUGUUUACUAUAAUUGUGUUUAUCAUUUAAGCAAAAUGAUUUUCUUUUGAUGAUAAAUAAUGGUAUAUGAUCUUAAGGAGGUAAUCUUGAAAUGGAUCGACGUAGUAUGUAAAUAUGAUUCCUGAUCUGCAAGAAUCUUAAGGACGUUGUUUUUUAUGAUUUGUAGAUUCCACCGCAAGAUAUAAGAUGGGGUGGAGAGGAGAAUGGGGCAGCUUUAAAUGCAGGACAUGGGAGUCGAAGAACCUUAAGCAAUGGUGGUCUAGGGAGAUUGCCAAUGACUCAGCCAAGAAGAGACCAUCUAGUAGCACAAAACGGUGGCGGGAGGAAGCUUUUCGAUGAGAUCGAACUGUUCAACACAGACUCGCUUGUGAAAGAGGUAAGCAUCUCUCUGUCUCUCCGUGGAUGAGUUUUAACAUUUUGCUUAGUCUGAAGUGUUUUUGCGUCGCAUUAGGUGGAGAGAGUUUUUGAUUCUAAUCUUCCUGACCCGCACGAGCUUGAUAAGGCCAAGAAGCUACUCAAGGUCAGAGACGUAACAAGAACGCUUUAUUAUUUAUAUAAACGAUUGAUCAAAAGUGAAACUUGGUUGCUUUUAUUGGAUGAUGCAGGAACAUGAACAGGCGCUUGUUUCUGCCAUUGCAAGGCUUGCGGAUGCUUCUGAUUUCGAAAGCGGUAAGAAACAUUAAGGGAGGGCUUUGUAUAUGGCCUGAGAAUAAGUUUAUUGCCUAUUCAAAUCACAUUGUUUGUCAGAACGACUCAAUGUCUUUGUUUCAUUACAAGACCAGUGAUGUUAUGUUUUUUUUUUUUCUUGGUUUUGUAUGUUGCUGAAAACCAGAUGGAGAAGAAGCGUAUAUGCAUGAGCUUCCAGUGCAUGAGGGAUAACAGUGGAUAAAGAAAAGAGAUUCGCCCAUCAAACCUUAGCACACUCUUUUUAUGUCCUUCACGUAUAGCAAACCGAACAAGUUCCUCCGAAAAUGAAAAUAUUAUGUAUUGGUUUCAAAAUGUAUUAAAAUAACCGUUAGAAAUUUUGUUUGUAAAAAC
This 1991-nucleotide long non-coding RNA is filed under the name Brassica napus (rape). RNAcentral describes it as "long non-coding RNA (BNAP_LNC023802)". The record is from RNAcentral. Lineage: Eukaryota; Viridiplantae; Streptophyta; Magnoliopsida; Brassicales; Brassicaceae.